Molecule: ribosomal RNA, 573 nt
Filed under: fungal sp. 54892
Lineage: Eukaryota; Fungi
Description: eukaryotic LSU rRNA
Rfam family: 5.8S ribosomal RNA (bases 211-363)
Source: RNAcentral
GGUUUCCGUAGGUGAACCUGCGGAAGGAUCAUUACCGAGUGAGGGCCCUCUGGGUCCAACCUCCCACCCGUGUUUAUUUUACCUUGUUGCUUCGGCGGGCCCGCCUUAACUGGCCGCCGGGGGGCUUACGCCCCCGGGCCCGCGCCCGCCGAAGACACCCUCGAACUCUGUCUGAAGAUUGUAGUCUGAGUGAAAAUAUAAAUUAUUUAAAACUUUCAACAACGGAUCUCUUGGUUCCGGCAUCGAUGAAGAACGCAGCGAAAUGCGAUACGUAAUGUGAAUUGCAAAUUCAGUGAAUCAUCGAGUCUUUGAACGCACAUUGCGCCCCCUGGUAUUCCGGGGGGCAUGCCUGUCCGAGCGUCAUUGCUGCCCUCAAGCACGGCUUGUGUGUUGGGCCCCGUCCUCCGAUCCCGGGGGACGGGCCCGAAAGGCAGCGGCGGCACCGCGUCCGGUCCUCGAGCGUAUGGGGCUUUGUCACCCGCUCUGUAGGCCCGGCCGGCGCUUGCCGAUCAACCCAAAUUUUUAUCCAGGUUGACCUCGGAUCAGGUAGGGAUACCCGCUGAACUUAAGCAU